AUACGGAGGAUGCGAGCGUUAUCCGGAUUUAUUGGGUUUAAAGGGUGCGUAGGCUGUGCGUUAAGUCAGGGGUGAAAUGCCGUCGCUCAACGACGGAGCUGCCCUUGAUACUGGCGUGCUGGAGUACGGAUGCCGUUGGAGGAGUGAGUGGUGUAGCGGUGAAAUGCUUAGAUAUCACUCAGAACACCGAUUGCGAAGGCAUCUGACGAAUCCGUCACUGACGCUGAGGCACGAAAGCGUGGGGAUAGAACAGGAUUAGAUACCCUGGUAUUCCACGCCGUAAACGAUGAUGACUAACCGUCGGCGAUAGACAGCCGGUGGCCAAGCGAAAGCGAUAAGUCAUCCACCUGGGGAGUACGUCGGCAACGAUGAAACUCAAAUGAAUUGACGGGG
Molecule: ribosomal RNA, 393 nt
Filed under: uncultured bacterium
Lineage: Bacteria
Description: partial 16S ribosomal RNA
Rfam family: Bacterial small subunit ribosomal RNA
Source: RNAcentral